Molecule: ribosomal RNA, 880 nt
Filed under: uncultured bacterium
Lineage: Bacteria
Description: bacterial SSU rRNA
Rfam family: Bacterial small subunit ribosomal RNA
Source: RNAcentral
CACGAGAAAAGGACUUCGGUCCCUAGUAAAGUGGCAGACGGGUGAGUAACACGUGGGCAACCUGCCCUCGAGUGGGGAAUAACCCAGGGAAACUUGGGCUAAUACCGCAUGACAUCAUCUUCUCCCUGGAGGAGAUGAUCAAAGGUGGGGAUCGUGAGACCUACCGCUCGAGGAGGGGCCCGCGCCUGAUUAGCUUGUUGGUGAGGUAACGGCUCACCAAGGCUGCGAUCAGUAGCCGGCCUGAGAGGGUGAUCGGCCACACUGGAACUGAGACACGGUCCAGACUCCUACGGGAGGCAGCAGUGAGGAAUCUUGCGCAAUGGGCGAAAGCCUGACGCAGCAACGCCGCGUGGGUGAUGAAGGCCUUCGGGUCGUAAAACCCUGUCAGGUGGGAAGAACAGGCGGCGGGUUAACACCCCGUCGUCUUGACUGUACCACCAGAGGAAGCCCCGGCUAACUCCGUGCCAGCAGCCGCGGUAAUACGGGGGGGGCCAGCGUUGUUCGGAAUUAUUGGGCGUAAAGGGCGCGCAGGCGGUUGUGCAAGUCAGUUGUGAAAUCCCCUGGCUUACCCAGGGAACUGCUUCUGAAACUGCAUGACUUGAGUCCGGGAGAGGAGAGUGGAAUUCCCAGUGGAGCGGUGGAAUGCGUAGAUAUUGGGAGGAACACCAGUGGCGAAGGCGGCUCUCUGGACCGGUACUGACGCUGAGGCGCGAAAGCUAGGGGAGCAAACAGGAUUAGAUACCCUGGUAGUCCUAGCUGUAAACGAUGGGCACUUGGUGUUGCGGGUAUCGACCCCUGCAGUGCCGGAGCUAACGCGAUAAGUGCCCCGCCUGGGGAGUACGGUCGCAAGGCUGAAACUCAAAGGAAUUUGACGGGGGCC